Molecule: ribosomal RNA, 465 nt
Filed under: uncultured bacterium
Lineage: Bacteria
Description: partial 16S ribosomal RNA
Rfam family: Bacterial small subunit ribosomal RNA
Source: RNAcentral
CUACGGGCGGCUGCAGUGGGGAAUAUUGGACAAUGGGGGAAACCCUGAUCCAGCAAUGCCGCGUGUGUGAAGAAGGCCUGCGGGUUGUAAAGCACUUUCGGUUGGGAGGACUGCUUCUAGCACUAAUAUUGUUGGAAGUUGACGUUACCUUCAGAAGAAGCACCGGCUAACUCCGUGCCAGCAGCCGCGGUAAUACGGAGGGUGCAAGCGUUAAUCGGAAUUACUGGGCGUAAAGCGCGCGUAGGCGGCUAGAUCAGUCGGGUGUGAAAGCCCCGGGCGUAACCUGGGAACUGCAUCCGAUACUGUCUAGCUUGAGUACAGGAGAGGAGAGUGGAAUUCCACAUGUAGCGGUGAAAUGCGUAGAUAUGUGGAGGAACACCAAUGGCGAAGGCAGCUCUCUGGCCUGAUACUGACGCUGAGGCGCGAAAGCGUGGGGAGCAAACAGGAUUAGAUACCCUCGUAGUC